GUCCUGUUUCCCCCCAGCAUGAAACUCUUAUCUCAAGGGAGAAACUCUGAAUAGGCCACGCUGAGAAAAGCAAGCACCAAGGCUGCAAACCCAUUUGCCCCGGCAGCUGCCCUGGGCUGUCUUCCGUAGGAAGGCAACAAGGCCAUUUGGAGCUGCCCAUUUGCUCCCCAGACACAUGGCGUGUGCCCAGGUCUCGUGCAGCCUUGACGUGAGUUAAGUCCUUCCAAGUAGGGCAUGGUGAGCCAAUCCAGCUAACACCAUCUUUUACGGCCGCCCAAGGAACAUUUCAACUUUCUCAUUUUGUUCAACAGAGAAUGUUUACCAAGUAUCUAUUUGGCCUGGAAAACAGAGAGGCCACAUUAAAAAUAACGAAAUGUGUUUGCCAGUUCAACGUUUCCAGACCUGAUAUUCAGACACCUCCUAACAACCCCCAACCUCAGAUCUAAGUUUGGCGUCCAACUCUGGGACUACAUGUCUCAUCCUCUGUGACAGCUGGGAGGAUGUCUGUUACCACACACUUAAUGAUAUUAUCCCAUCGCUUUCAUCUUCAUCGUUUUAAGUUGAGGCAACCAAAUUGCAUUUGUCUGUGGCAGCUACAAGAGGAUAUUUAUUUUUAAGUUGAUCUCAUCUUCUCAUUCUCAGAAAUUGAUGAAUGAAUAGAAGAUGCACAAUCCAAGCUGUGGCCAAGAAGUCCAAGAUCAUACGCAUGUGAGAUUGGGGAUAAUCACCCACCUAUGAAGACAGCAGUAGGAUGCUCAUUAAGACUCAGUCGACAACACUUUUAGGUAAAGUUCACGCUGUUUGGAAAGCACGUUUCAUGCCUGGUGUCAAAACCUCCAAAAGCACAUGGAAAAGUAAAGGAGCCGGUCCAUGAUGACCACCCAACAUGAUUAUGACAAGUAACCACGGAAUUUGAAGAACAAACCUUGGCUGCUUCUUCGCUUAGUGACCCAAGUGCCAUUUCUUUGCAGCGCUCAUAGGUCUGCGCUACACUGAAAAUGCUAAGUUAUGUUUGCACCAGGACAAUAAAAUCCUACUCAGCAAUAAAGGAGAAGAAGCUAUUGACAAACAUGACAACGUGGGCAAAUCUCAAAGGCAGGAUGCUGGGGGAAAGAGGACAGGCUCGAAAGGUUAAAUACUGCCUGGGUCCAUUUACGUGACUUUCUGGAAAAGGCAAGACUGGAGCGGGAGCAGUAAAGCAUUUAGAGAGAUAUUUUAAAAAUGCCCCAGGCCACGGGGCCCUGACCACUCCUGGCGUGGCGAUUGGAGUGCUCCAGGGCGAGGAGAAAGUGGAGAUUCUGGAACUGCAUGAAGAGCACUAGCUUCCUUGCCUCAAUUCCUCUUUCACUUUCCACAAAAAGACAAGGGAACUGCAGGCUGUGGUUGACAUACAUGAAAGGGCCAUUCACAGGAAAAGGAUUGCUCAUUCGCUCAUGCAAUGGUGAUAGUGAACCACAGGCUCAUCGCAUCAGAGGAGAGUGCUUGACUUCUCCAAGGAUGAGAUGCAUGGUGACAGUGAGGACCAGAAGGUGCCAUCCGCCUGAUGCUUGUGCUGAGAGAGCUGCUCGGAGCGCAACAUCACAAUCAAACAUGAUCUUCCUCUUUGCCCCGUCAGCCAACCUUUUCAGCAGCGCAACUUCAGACGGACAACGGGAGAGUCUCUAAGCUUUUUCGGUGGUAGCCUGCUGCACCAAACAUCCUCAGGAGCUGUUGAUUCUUUCCCCCUUGGCUGACUGUAAGCUGUGAAACGAGGCAAAAAUGAAGCCCCUCCGUGUCUGCAGCAUGAAGGAAGGUGGGGGGCAAAGAAUCACUUGCUCUGGGAGAGCUGACGCCAUGUCAGGAGGACACUCAAGCAGGCCUGUGGAGAAGGACGUGUGGAGAGGAACGAGGCCUCCUCACAACAGCCAGCAUCACGUUUCCAUCUGGAUGAGUGAGCCGUCCUGGAAACGGAUCCUCCAGCCCCAGUGACGCCUUCCCAUGACCGCAGCCCUGGCCGACAUCUUGACUGCAGCCUCAUGAGAGACCUUGAGCCAGAAAUACCCAGUUAAACGGCUCCUGGAUUCCUGACCCACAGAAACUGUGUGAGAUAAACGCUUAUUGCUGUUUUAGGCUGCUAAAUUCUGGGGUAAUUUAUUAUAGAGCAAUAAGUAAACAAUAUACUAUUAUUGUAAAUGGUUGUAUGAGUAUCAGUAAAGAGAGACCUCCC
Long non-coding RNA from Equus caballus (horse), 2206 nucleotides. The record is from Ensembl. NCBI's taxonomy places the organism in Eukaryota, Metazoa, Chordata, Mammalia, Perissodactyla, Equidae.